Long non-coding RNA from Lontra canadensis (Northern American river otter), 102 nucleotides. RefSeq lists it as uncharacterized. The transcript has 3 exons. The record is from RefSeq and is a predicted model, not a curated record. NCBI's taxonomy places the organism in Eukaryota, Metazoa, Chordata, Mammalia, Carnivora, Mustelidae.
AUAAAAGCUUGGACCUUCUGCCUUGCAGGGUAGCUUCCUGUUGCCUGAAAAGAGAGCUCGAAGCUUCGGGCAGUGGGGGUGGGGAAGUGAAAUGGGAAUGUG